CUUGUGAUGCCACCACCUGCCUCUCCGGUCGCUGCCGGCCGUCUCCGGCGCCGCCGCACGCCAGCGUCGCUCUGCUCUGGCCUCCUGCUCUGGUUUUCCGCCGCCGCGAUGCGCUAUCACACCCUUCGGCACUACCCCGCGAAACCCUAGCCCCAUUGUUCGGCCGCCGGCGCGGCACCCAUUCAUCCGCGCCUCCGGCUGCCCCUCCACGUCGACCAGAGCGCGCCCUCGCCUGACCCAGAGCGCGCCUCUGCCUCGGAUUGCAGAGCGCACGGUGUCGGGCCUGAAGCGGCGCGACGACGACGUGCUCGCGGCGGCCAACGCGGCCACGGCGGAGCUCGAGGCCGCCAAGCGCGCGCGGGAGGCGGCGGAGACGGACCUGCGCGGGAGCCAGGUGCAGGCCUCCAUCGCCGCCGCGGCCAUCCAUGCGCUCGAUGUCCCUCCUCGUCUCCCUCCCUCCCCGCCGAAUUGGCGAAUCAUUUCUCCCAGUUCGCCUGAUUUGAUUUCAAUUUCGCCGUGUUUUGGCGCGUGCAGGCGACCAUCUCGCAUCUCCAGGAGGAGAUCGCCAAGGUGGGAUCCAAGCCGGAGGAGCUUAAGGUCAGAAACCUCGCAAAUCGCAUUGAAUCAGGGUCCUACUAGUCUCUGUUGCUUUAACAUGACGCGCUUGUGUGCUUUUGGUGCUGUGUGUAUGUAUGAUUGGCGUCGGUGGGGUUGCGCUUUUGGUGCUUGAUGUAAUGUCUCUGCAGAGCAAGGAAGACACUGAGAGAGACGAGUUCAUCAGCCAGAUGGUUGAAAUGAAUGCAAGGAUAAGAUGGCUUCUUUUGAAUUAGCAAGGAAAUGCUCUGAAGUGUCAACAGAUGGUGAGCAAGGCAAGGCAGCAGACGGUAAUCAAGUCAAGGGAACAGAUGGUAAGCAGUGUAACUUAGUUUUCUUGAAUCCCUUAAGAAGGGGUUCCUGUUAAUUUGCAGCAUCCGUUUUAUUUCGGCUUCGUUGCUUAUACAUAGUUGUUUAUUUCCUUUUAUAGAAAAUGAACCGCGGAUAUUGUACUUCUAUGUAAUGCAUUAAUAUUGUCUUUAGUCGGGUCAAUCUGGUGUUUUGUUGCGCUGUAGAAGACUAAGAUUGCAUAUAAUAAGGCGAUGGCUGAUAAGAUGCUAUUUAAUUAUAUUUCUCCAUGAUAGUAUAAACUUGUGAUUGAAGAUAAAGAAAAGCUUCAGAAUGUUCGAUUCAGUGUUCUGUUUCGACUAACAGUCAUCAGUAUGUUUGCAUAACUGUUUCUGUUAAAGCUUUUCCAUAGAAGCUGCCAUU
This is an RNA transcript of Lolium perenne, 1305 nucleotides long. RefSeq lists it as uncharacterized. The record is from RefSeq and is a predicted model, not a curated record. Lineage: Eukaryota; Viridiplantae; Streptophyta; Magnoliopsida; Poales; Poaceae.